Cercocebus atys (sooty mangabey) is the source of this 2552-nucleotide RNA transcript. It is a transcript of the gene named ankyrin repeat domain-containing protein 36B pseudogene, with no coding region annotated. The record is from RefSeq and is a predicted model, not a curated record. Lineage: Eukaryota; Metazoa; Chordata; Mammalia; Primates; Cercopithecidae. The transcript has a single exon.
AACACCACACGUUCUCACUCAUAAAUGGAAGUUGAACAAUGAGAACACAUGGAAAAAGGAGGGGAACAUCACACACUGGGGCCUGUUGGGGGAUGGGGGGCUAGGGGAGGGAUAGCAUUACAUGUGUAUCUAUGUAACAAACCCGCAUGUCCUGCACAUGUACCCCAGAACUUAAAGUAUAAUAAAAAAUAAUUUCCAGAAUCUCGUAUAAAAAAAGACUAAAAUUUAAAAUGCAGUUAUGUAAAAGACCAACAGAACUUAAAGAUAAUCACUGUAAGUGACUUACAGCAAAAAUUCAAAAAAUGAAAAAGACUAGUGUACUACAAGACUACCUGAAAAAAAAGAAAUAAUAUCACAGAGUAUCAAAAACUUGAAUGGGAACAAAAACUCUGCAGUUUGAGAUUUCUGAUAGUCAUGAAAAAGAAGACCUGUUGCAUAAAAACCACUUGAUGUAAAAUGAAAUUGCCAGGCUCAGGCUGGAAAUAGACACAAUGAAAAAUCAAAUCCUGGAAAAGAAAUACCUAAAAGACAUUGAAAUUAUAAAAAGCAAGCAUGAAGACCUCAAAAGGCUCUAAAACAGAAUGGGGAAACAUCAACAAAAGCGAUAGCCCAUUAUAGUGGACAGCUUACUGCUCUGACAGAGGAGAACACAAUGCUCCGUUCCAAACUGGAGAAGGAAAAACAAAGCAGGCAAAGACUGACGAAAUGGAAUCAUACCAUCGUAGACUGAAUGCUGCUCUACGUGAUCAUGAUCAAAGUCACUCAACUGAAAGAGACCAAGAGCUUGAUUUCCAGGGCACGGUAGAGAAAUUGUGUCAUUUACAGGAAAAUUUGAAUUCUCAUGUUCUGAUUCUUUCUCAACAACUUUCUAAAGCUAAGAGUAAGUUCUGGGUCCUCAAAACUGAGCUCCAUUACACGAGAGGCUCUGAAAGAAAAGGCUUUGGUUUUUGAACACAUACAAAGAGAGCUAAACCAAACAGUGUCAAAUGAAGGACAUUGAAAAAAUGUACACAAAUGGCCAAGAUAAAGUAGAAAAAUGCACAGAAAAGCAAGUAAGAUUAUGUCAACUACAAAGACAAACUAUGUUGCUUCAACAGCAACUGGAUGAUGUUCACAACAAAGCUGACAAUCAAGAAAAAAUAGUAAUUGAUAUUCAAGCCAAACGUGAUGCUACAGUACAAAAUAUUCAGGCUGAGUGCAUAAAGCACAGUCUUUUGCUAGAAGAGUAAGAGGAUGAUCAAUAAAGUUAAUCAUUUGAAAGAAAAACAAUGUCAAUAUGAAAGAGAGAAAGCAGAAAGAGAAGUAGUUGUGAGACAACUUUAACAAAAACAGAGUGAUGUCCUAAACAAUCAACAAAAGCUUCGCUGGAUGCUUCAUUGCGUCACUGCAUCCGUUGAGGAAGUGAGAUGCAAGAUUCAAGGAAGAAAUUAGGCCAGAUGAGAAUUCAAUUUCAAGAAAAACAGUAUCAACUUACAGCAACUAUGAGAUGUACUAAGGAGACACAAGGCCACAUACAAAAGCUCGAAACAGAAAAUUCCAUGUUAAGAAAUACAAUUAAAAAGCAAGAUGGCCAAAUUGAGCAGCUUCAGAAAAUCCUGUGAAGUUCAAUGCAGCAGUUGUUGAAAGAAAAUGAAACUACAGAAACAGAUGAAGCUUCUUCUGAAUUUAAAUCUGGAUCCUCUACAGCAGAGGUCCCCAACCUGCAGGCCACGGACAGGUCCAUGACCUGUCAGGAACCAGCCACACAGCAGGAGAGUUACUGUGGAUCUUCUAGAUUAUCUGCAUGCCACGUUUUAAUUUCCACAAAAAACAAAACAAACAAACAAACAAAAACGCCUGCUUGGCUUUGGAUGGGGACUGCACUAUAUCUAUAGAUUAAUAUGGGAAAGAAUUAACAUCAACAAUGUUGAGUCUCACAGCCUAUGAACAAGAUACUUACUUAAGUCUUCUUUAAUUUUUCUUAGCAAUGCUUUUUAGUUAUCAGUGUACAGAUAUUCCACAUAGUUUGUCAGGUUUAUUCCCAAGAAUUUUAUAUUUUAAUGCUAUUGUAAAUAGUAUUAUUUUUAAAUUUUCAAUUCCUAAUUCUUCUAACAGAGAAACAUAAUUGAUUUUUGUGUAUCGAUUAUAUAUCCUGCAGUGUCGCAAAACUCACUUGCUGGUUUCAGUAACCUGGUAAUGGAUUUUAUUUGGUUUUCUACAUAGAUGAUAAUAUCUGUGAAUAGACAGUUUUACUUAUUUAUUUUCAAUCUAAAGGCCUUUUAUUUUUCUCCUUCCCUCCCUCUUUCCCCCAACUCCCAAUUAAAACAUGAUUGCAGUGGCUAGAAUUUCCAGUACAAUGUUGAAUAUAAGUGGUAAGAGUUGACCUCUCUGUCUUAUUCUCAAUCUUAGGGGAAAACAUUCAGCCUUUCAUCAUUACAAAGGAUGUUAGCAGAAGAUAUUUUAAAGAUGCCCUUCAAUAGGUUGAGGAAAUUCUCUUGUAUCCCUAGUUUGCUGAGAUUAUUUUUUAAAUAAAGAAUGGUUGUUCAAUCUCAAAAAAAAAAAAAAAAAAAAAA